This 299-nucleotide long non-coding RNA is filed under the name Ganoderma lucidum. RNAcentral describes it as "long non-coding RNA (GLUC_LNC000033)". The record is from RNAcentral. Lineage: Eukaryota; Fungi; Basidiomycota; Agaricomycetes; Polyporales; Polyporaceae.
CUCGUUUGUCUUCCAAUCGGUAACGAAAGAACUGGUACAACACCUAGCGCAUGUCCAGCAGCGUCAGCGCCAUGGCCCCGUGGCCCGACAAAAAAACUCGACGCUUACAAACAGAUCCAGGAAGAUGGUCAGGGCGCUCCCUUUUCAGACGGCGGAUAUCCGGCAAACCGUCGUGCCUCUGAUCAGACGGUUGUUUCUACACCAUUCUCGGAGAUGCACGUACCGGCGAUCCAGGGCGCGUUCACCACAAGAUGUUUCAUCUUCAGCGACGCCGCGAGGAUGGACAGGAAGUAUGUCGU